AGGCCCNCACAUGCAAGCCGAGCGGUAUUGUUUCUUCGGAAAUGAGAGAGCGGCGUACGGGUGCGGAACACGUGUGCAACCUGCCUUUAUCUGGGGGAUAGCCUUUCGAAAGGGAGAUUAAUACCCCAUAAUAUUUAGAAUGGCAUCAUUUUAAAUUGAAAACUCCGGUGGAUAGAGAUGGGCACGCGCAAGAUUAGAUAGUUGGUGAGGUAACGGCUCACCAAGUCAACGAUCUUUAGGGGGCCUGAGAGGGUGAUCCCCCACACUGGUACUGAGACACGGACCAGACUCCUACGGGAGGCAGCAGUGAGGAAUAUUGGACAAUGGGUGAGAGCCUGAUCCAGCCAUCCCGCGUGAAGGACGACGGCCCUAUGGGUUGUAAACUUCUUUUGUAUAGGGAUAAACCUACCCUCGUGAGGGUAGCUGAAGGUACUAUACGAAUAAGCACCGGCUAACUCCGUGCCAGCAGCCGCGGUAAUACGGAGGGUGCAAGCGUUAUCCGGAUUUAUUGGGUUUAAAGGGUCCGUAGGCGGAUCUGUAAGUCAGUGGUGAAAUCUCACAGCUUAACUGUGAAACUGCCAUUGAUACUGCAGGUCUUGAGUGUUGUUGAAGUA
This 614-nucleotide ribosomal RNA is filed under the name Chryseobacterium sp. U3. RNAcentral's name for it is "bacterial SSU rRNA". It matches the Rfam family "Bacterial small subunit ribosomal RNA", at positions 44 to 659 of the family's 1533-position model. Lineage: Bacteria; Pseudomonadati; Bacteroidota; Flavobacteriia; Flavobacteriales; Weeksellaceae. The record is from RNAcentral.